RNAcentral lists this ribosomal RNA (627 nucleotides) under Microbacterium sp. So1Pw_1072. RNAcentral describes it as "bacterial SSU rRNA". It matches the Rfam family "Bacterial small subunit ribosomal RNA", at positions 387 to 1027 of the family's 1533-position model. Lineage: Bacteria; Bacillati; Actinomycetota; Actinomycetes; Micrococcales; Microbacteriaceae. The record is from RNAcentral. RNAcentral also lists the same sequence under 3 other names.
UGCAGCAACGCCGCGUGAGGGACGACGGCCUUCGGGUUGUAAACCUCUUUUAGCAAGGAAGAAGCGAAAGUGACGGUACUUGCAGAAAAAGCGCCGGCUAACUACGUGCCAGCAGCCGCGGUAAUACGUAGGGCGCAAGCGUUAUCCGGAAUUAUUGGGCGUAAAGAGCUCGUAGGCGGUUUGUCGCGUCUGCUGUGAAAACCCGAGGCUCAACCUCGGGCCUGCAGUGGGUACGGGCAGACUAGAGUGCGGUAGGGGAGAUUGGAAUUCCUGGUGUAGCGGUGGAAUGCGCAGAUAUCAGGAGGAACACCGAUGGCGAAGGCAGAUCUCUGGGCCGUAACUGACGCUGAGGAGCGAAAGGGUGGGGAGCAAACAGGCUUAGAUACCCUGGUAGUCCACCCCGUAAACGUUGGGAACUAGUUGUGGGGUCCAUUCCACGGAUUCCGUGACGCAGCUAACGCAUUAAGUUCCCCGCCUGGGGAGUACGGCCGCAAGGCUAAAACUCAAAGGAAUUGACGGGGACCCGCACAAGCGGCGGAGCAUGCGGAUUAAUUCGAUGCAACGCGAAGAACCUUACCAAGGCUUGACAUAUACGAGAACGCUGCAGAAAUGUAGAACUCUUUGGAC